CCGCUAUGGGAUGAGCCUAUGUCGGAUUAGCUAGUUGGUGAGGUAACGGCUCACCAAGGCGACGAUCCGUAGCUGGUCUGAGAGGAUGAUCAGCCACAUCGGGACUGAGACACGGCCCGAACUCCUACGGGAGGCAGCAGUGGGGAAUAUUGGACAAUGGGGGAAACCCUGAUCCAGCCAUGCCGCGUGUGUGAAGAAGGCCCUCGGGUUGUAAAGCACUUUCAGCGAGGAAGAACGCCUAGCGGUUAAUACCCGCUAGGAAAGACAUCACUCGCAGAAGAAGCACCGGCUAACUCCGUGCCACCAGCCGCGGUAAUACGGAGGGUGCAAGCGUUAAUCGGAAUUACUGGGCGUAAAGCGCGCGUAUGUGGCUUGAUAAGCCGGUUGUGAAAGCCCCGGGCUCAACCUGGGAACGGCAUCCGGAACUGUCAAGCUAGAGUGCAGGAGAGGAAGGUAGAAUUCCCGGUGUAGCGGUGAAAUGCGUAGAGAUCGGGAGGAAUACCAGUGGCGAAGGCGGCCUUCUGGACUGACACUGACACUGAGGUGCGAAAGCGUGGGUAGCAAACAGGAUUAGAUACCCUGGUAGUCCACGCCGUAAACGAUGUCGACCAGCCGUUGGGUGCCUAGCGCACUUUGUGGCGAAGUUAACGCGAUAAGUCGACCGCCUGGGGAGUACGGCCGCAAGGUUAAAACUCAAAUGAAUUGACGGGGGCCCGCACAAGCGGUGGAGCAUGUGGUUUAAUUCGAUGCAACGCGAAGAACCUUACCUACUCUUGACAUCCUGCGAAUUUGGUAGAGAUACCUUAGUGCCUUCGGGAACGCAGAGACAGGUGCUGCAUGGCUGUCGUCAGCUCGUGUUGUGAAAUGUUGGGUUAAGUCCCGUAACGAGCGCAACCCUUGUCCUUAUUUGCCAGCGCGUAAUGGCGGGAACUCUAAGGAGACUGCCGGUGACAAACCGGAGGAAGGUGGGGACGACGUCAAGUCAUCAUGGCCCUUACGAGUAGGGCUACACACGUGCUACAAUGGUCGGUACAAAGGGUUGCCAACUCGCGAGAGUGAGCCAAUCCCGAAAAGCCGAUCUCAGUCCG
This 1088-nucleotide ribosomal RNA is filed under the name Vreelandella aquamarina. RNAcentral's name for it is "bacterial SSU rRNA". It matches the Rfam family "Bacterial small subunit ribosomal RNA", at positions 215 to 1295 of the family's 1533-position model. The record is from RNAcentral. Lineage: Bacteria; Pseudomonadati; Pseudomonadota; Gammaproteobacteria; Oceanospirillales; Halomonadaceae.